Molecule: ribosomal RNA, 253 nt
Filed under: uncultured bacterium
Lineage: Bacteria
Description: partial 16S ribosomal RNA
Rfam family: Bacterial small subunit ribosomal RNA
Source: RNAcentral
UACGUAGGUGACCAGCGUUGUCCGGAUUUACUGGGCGUAAAGAGCGCGCAGGCGGUCGUUCAAGUCGAGUGUGAAAGCCCCCGGCUCAACUGGGGAGGGUCACUCGAUACUGAUCGACUUGAAGGCAGGAGAGGGAAGCGGAAUUCCCGGUGUAGUGGUGAAAUGCGUAGAUAUGUGGAGGAACACCGAUGGCGAAGGCAGCCCCCUGGGCUAGUACUGACGCUCAUGCACGAAAGCGUGGGGAGCAAACAGG